RNAcentral lists this long non-coding RNA (401 nucleotides) under Rattus norvegicus (Norway rat). RNAcentral describes it as "long non-coding RNA NONRATT010925". Lineage: Eukaryota; Metazoa; Chordata; Mammalia; Rodentia; Muridae. The record is from RNAcentral.
UGGAAAGAUUCCGACUGGAGGCCUGGAAGAGAGCAGAAGCUAUUGAGAACAGUCCCAAGGCCUGCCAGUACAUAAUGGCCACAAAAAAGGAUGAGUCCAUGAACUCAUCAAUUCAAUUUCAAAAGAGUCAUGCUUCUUUAGGAGUCCAGGGAGAAAAAUAUAAGAAAAAGUAUUUGCCAGCACAAGGUAAGAGACUACAUGUUUCUUUUAUAUUUCAGAACAUAAUAGGUAAUUUGAGCUAAGCUUGGUGACAUGAGUUGUUACCCUAUCAGGCAGGAGGCUUACCACAGGUUCAGGGCCAAUCUGGUACUUGGUAAAGUGAGACUGGCUUGGUGAAAGGGAUGGGAAUAGGAGAGAGGAUUACAUUCAAGGAAUCAAACCAGAGUGAUCUUGAAGCCUCU